Molecule: ribosomal RNA, 251 nt
Filed under: uncultured bacterium
Lineage: Bacteria
Description: partial 16S ribosomal RNA
Rfam family: Bacterial small subunit ribosomal RNA
Source: RNAcentral
UACGAGAGGCCCAAACGUUAUUCGGAUUUACUGGGCUUAAAGAGUUCGUAGGCGGCGCAGAAAGUGGGGUGAAAGCCCUCGGCUCAACCGAGGAAUUGCGCUCCAAACUACUGUGCUAGAGGAAGCUAGAGGUGAGCAGAACAGAUGGUGGAGCGGUGAAAUGCGUUGAUAUCAUCUGGAAUACCGGAGGCGAAGGCAGCUCACUGGGGCUUUUCUGACGCUGAGGAACGAAAGCCAGGGUAGCGAACGGG